Molecule: ribosomal RNA, 253 nt
Filed under: uncultured bacterium
Lineage: Bacteria
Description: partial 16S ribosomal RNA
Rfam family: Bacterial small subunit ribosomal RNA
Source: RNAcentral
UACGUAGGGUGCAAGCGUUGUCCGGAAUCAUUGGGCGUAAAGCGCGCGUAGGUGGCCAUUUAAGUCCGCUGUGAAAGUCAAAGGCUCAACCUUUGAAAGCCGGUGGAUACUGGAUGGCUAGAGUACGGAAGAGGCGAGUGGAAUUCCUGGUGUAGCGGUGGAAUGCGUAGAUAUCAGGAGGAACACCGGUGGCGAAGGCGGCCCUCUGGACGGAUACUGACGCUGAGGCGCGAAAGCGUGGGGAUCAAACAGG